This 1113-nucleotide ribosomal RNA is filed under the name Klebsiella variicola. RNAcentral describes it as "bacterial SSU rRNA". It matches the Rfam family "Bacterial small subunit ribosomal RNA", at positions 35 to 1142 of the family's 1533-position model. Lineage: Bacteria; Pseudomonadati; Pseudomonadota; Gammaproteobacteria; Enterobacterales; Enterobacteriaceae. The record is from RNAcentral.
GCAUUGCGGCAGCUACACAUGCAGUCGAGCGGUAGCACAGAGAGCUUGCUCUCGGGUGACGAGCGGCGGACGGGUGAGUAAUGUCUGGGAAACUGCCUGAUGGAGGGGGAUAACUACUGGAAACGGUAGCUAAUACCGCAUAACGUCGCAAGACCAAAGUGGGGGACCUUCGGGCCUCAUGCCAUCAGAUGUGCCCAGAUGGGAUUAGCUGGUAGGUGGGGUAACGGCUCACCUAGGCGACGAUCCCUAGCUGGUCUGAGAGGAUGACCAGCCACACUGGAACUGAGACACGGUCCAGACUCCUACGGGAGGCAGCAGUGGGGAAUAUUGCACAAUGGGCGCAAGCCUGAUGCAGCCAUGCCGCGUGUGUGAAGAAGGCCUUCGGGUUGUAAAGCACUUUCAGCGGGGAGGAAGGCGGUGAGGUUAAUAACCUCAUCGAUUGACGUUACCCGCAGAAGAAGCACCGGCUAACUCCGUGCCAGCAGCCGCGGUAAUACGGAGGGUGCAAGCGUUAAUCGGAAUUACUGGGCGUAAAGCGCACGCAGGCGGUCUGUCAAGUCGGAUGUGAAAUCCCCGGGCUCAACCUGGGAACUGCAUUCGAAACUGGCAGGCUAGAGUCUUGUAGAGGGGGGUAGAAUUCCAGGUGUAGCGGUGAAAUGCGUAGAGAUCUGGAGGAAUACCGGUGGCGAAGGCGGCCCCCUGGACAAAGACUGACGCUCAGGUGCGAAAGCGUGGGGAGCAAACAGGAUUAGAUACCCUGGUAGUCCACGCUGUAAACGAUGUCGAUUUGGAGGUUGUGCCCUUGAGGCGUGGCUUCCGGAGCUAACGCGUUAAAUCGACCGCCUGGGGAGUACGGCCGCAAGGUUAAAACUCAAAUGAAUUGACGGGGGCCCGCACAAGCGGUGGAGCAUGUGGUUUAAUUCGAUGCAACGCGAAGAACCUUACCUGGUCUUGACAUCCACAGAACUUAGCAGAGAUGCAUUGGUGCCUUCGGGAACUGUGAGACAGGUGCUGCAUGGCUGUCGUCAGCUCGUGUUGUGAAAUGUUGGGUUAAGUCCCGCAACGAGCGCAACCCUUAUCCUUUGUUGCCAGCGGUUAGGCCGGGAACCUCAA